Molecule: ribosomal RNA, 445 nt
Filed under: uncultured bacterium
Lineage: Bacteria
Description: bacterial SSU rRNA
Rfam family: Bacterial small subunit ribosomal RNA
Source: RNAcentral
ACUCCUACGGGAGGCAGCAGUGGGGAAUAUUGCACAAUGGGCGCAAGCCUGAUGCAGCCAUGCCGCGUGUGUGAAGAAGGCCUUCGGGUUGUAAAGCACUUUCAGUCGUGAGGAAGGUAGUGUAGUUAAUAGCUGCAUUAUUUGUACGUUAGCGACAGAAGAAGCACCGGCUAACUCCGUGCCAGCAGCCGCGGUAAUACGGAGGGUGCGAGCGUUAAUCGGAAUUACUGGGCGUAAAGCGCAUGCAGGUUGGUUUGUUAAGUCAGAUGUGAAAGCCCGGGGCUCAACCUCGGAAUAGCAUUUGAAACUGGCAGACUAGAGUACUGUAGAGGGGGUUAGAAUUUCAGGUGUAGCGGUGAAAUGCGUAGAGAUCUGAAGGAAUACCGGUGGCGAAGGCGGCCCCUGGACAGAUACUGACACUCAGAUGCGAAAGCGUGGGAGCAAA